UACGUAGGGCGCAAGCGUUGUCCGGAAUUAUUGGGCGUAAAGAGCUCGUAGGCGGUUUGUCGCGUCUGUCGUGGAAGCCCACGGCUUAACUGUGGGUCUGCGGUGGAUACGGGCAGACUAGAGGCAGGUAGGGGAGAAUGGAAUUCCCGGUGUAGCGGUGAAAUGCGCAGAUAUCGGGAGGAACACCGGUGGCGAAGGCGGUUCUCUGGGCCUGUACUGACGCUGAGGAGCGAAAGCGUGGGGAGCGAACAGG
RNAcentral lists this ribosomal RNA (253 nucleotides) under uncultured bacterium. RNAcentral's name for it is "partial 16S ribosomal RNA". It matches the Rfam family "Bacterial small subunit ribosomal RNA", at positions 524 to 776 of the family's 1533-position model. The record is from RNAcentral.